This 21-nucleotide non-coding RNA is filed under the name Rattus norvegicus (Norway rat). Lineage: Eukaryota; Metazoa; Chordata; Mammalia; Rodentia; Muridae. The record is from RNAcentral.
UGAAUAGUCUUAGCACUUUGA